UACGUAGGGGGCUAGCGUUGUCCGGAAUCAUUGGGCGUAAAGCGCGUGUAGGCGGUCCGGUAAGUCCGCUGUGAAAGUCGAGGGCUCAACCCUCGAAUGCCGGUGGAUACUGUCGGGCUUGAGUACGGGAGAGGCGAGUGGAAUUCCAGGUGUAGCGGUGAAAUGCGCAGAUAUCGGGAAGAACACCCGUGGCGAAGGCGGUUCUCUGGGACGGUACUGACGCUGAGACGCGAAAGCGUGGGGAGCGAACAGG
RNAcentral lists this ribosomal RNA (253 nucleotides) under uncultured bacterium. RNAcentral describes it as "partial 16S ribosomal RNA". It matches the Rfam family "Bacterial small subunit ribosomal RNA", at positions 524 to 776 of the family's 1533-position model. The record is from RNAcentral.